This 1329-nucleotide long non-coding RNA is filed under the name Gossypium barbadense (sea-island cotton). Its description in RNAcentral is "long non-coding RNA (GBAR_LNC019333)". Lineage: Eukaryota; Viridiplantae; Streptophyta; Magnoliopsida; Malvales; Malvaceae. The record is from RNAcentral.
AAAGUGAUUGAGAAAACAUUUUCAAUGAGAGCUGAUUUGGAGGAUGAGAAACAACGUUCACCAUCAUCAUCAUCAUCAGGGAUUAGGAAGGCCAUGAAGAGAGCCUUUUCAAAGAGAGCCUCAUCAGCUUCUGCCGCCAACGAUGUUUAUUGCAGAAUAGAUCAUCAAUAUGACACAGUUCCAGUUGCAGACGAUGAAAAUACAAUCAUGGUGGCCCAUUCAACAAAGGAGUCUGAUAAUGUGGGAAACAAGAUCAUUGAAGCUAGUAGGCGCUUCUUUGGUUUUUAGUAUUAUUUGUUACUUAUUCAAUAAUAUUAUUCUUGUCAUCCUACCUACUAUAUAGGACUAUUCUUCCCUUGCAUGGUAAAUAGCUAAGAUGAUCCCUGCUUCUUAUUAUCACAGUUAAUCAAUACUACGAAUGCAUGGCAUUACAAAUAUUUUUUUAUUUUAUUUUUCAGAGACAAUUAUGACCAUUAUGUAUUCAUGUGUGAUUUGAUGAUAGAAAGAUCUCAAGUGAAAUCCAUUACAACUUUUGGCUAAAACUAACUAGGGACCUCUUUAUAAUUAGUCCAAGAUGCUUAUUCCUUUCUGUUCUCUGUUCAGCACCCUGCUUUUGCUUUUGUUUUUUGUUUUUCAUCCCUUUUCACACAAUGGAAACACCUACGGAGGGUGGACACUAUGUGCAACAUCAUCAAACUAUGUAGAAAAAAAGUUACACAACAAACGGAAAGCAAAUAAUGUUGUAAAAUAAAAAAAUAAAAACACUAACCUGUAAGUAGUGGAGCAACCGUAGCAGGAGUAAACACUAACCUGUAAAGAGUUGGCUCAAUACUUGCUUUUAUUAACUCUGAUGCUGGCUAUGCCAUCGUAUAGAUGAAAGAUAUAAAAUAAUUUGCAUCUGAGAUUUGUUUUAACAGAAAAUAAUAAUUUACCUCGUUUAGUUAAUCUGAAGGAUGAGACAUAAAUAUAACUCACUUCUGGCGCUGAGAAAAGACCGCCCAAGGUGGAACAAUUUUUCUUAUAUCCUGCACUCUCAUCCUUGCCUACAUAAUGUAAGGUCAUGAAUACAUGAGAGAAGUCUUCUUCACUUGCUUGCCUGAUUUUCUACAACCAAAACUUUCCAUUUAUCCUUCAUACCAGCAGAGCUCAAAUGCACAUUCUCCUUUUUCUUUCUUUUUUCUUUUUCUUUUGUUUGAGUUUGAAAGCUUCUUUUCCAACUCAACUUCUACCUUUUAGCUACCUUUUGAAAAAAAGAAGAAGCAGGAUGCUGAACAGAGGGAAGAGAGAAGAGGAAGAGGAAGAGGAAAAAAUGAUCUGAUUAUAGAGAGA